UACGGAGGGGGCUAGCGUUGUUCGGAAUUACUGGGCGUAAAGCGCACGUAGGCGGCUUUGUAAGUUAGAGGUGAAAGCCCAGGGCUCAACCCUGGAAUUGCCUUUAAGACUGCAUCGCUAGAAUUGUGGAGAGGUAAGUGGAAUUCCGAGUGUAGAGGUGAAAUUCGUAGAUAUUCGGAAGAACACCAGUGGCGAAGGCGACUUACUGGACACAUAUUGACGCUGAGGUGCGAAAGCGUGAGGAGCAAACAGG
This 253-nucleotide ribosomal RNA is filed under the name uncultured bacterium. Its description in RNAcentral is "partial 16S ribosomal RNA". It matches the Rfam family "Bacterial small subunit ribosomal RNA", at positions 524 to 776 of the family's 1533-position model. The record is from RNAcentral.